This is a long non-coding RNA of Solea senegalensis (Senegalese sole), 873 nucleotides long. RefSeq lists it as uncharacterized. Lineage: Eukaryota; Metazoa; Chordata; Actinopteri; Pleuronectiformes; Soleidae. The record is from RefSeq and is a predicted model, not a curated record. The transcript is spliced from 5 exons.
GCCAAACCUGAAGGGAGGAGGAGGAGGAGGAGGACGGUGAUAAUUCAACUUCAGACAACACCCAUCAUGCAUCUCUGCUACCCACCUUUCAUCAUUGGGUCCAACCAGGGGGUUGGAUCCAGCGAAGCCCGGCAUGUUGAUGUGGUCUUUGAUGAUCAUGACGUCUCCCACUUUGUAGUCCUGGUUGAGGCCUCCGGCCGCGUUGGUCAGGAUCAUUGUCUCCACACCCAACAGCUUGAAGACGCGCAUGGGCAGCGUGAUCUGUGAGAGCACCAGGUCUGAUCUGGAACAUCAGUGAACUUUUCAUGACUUUGAAAAAAUGUCCACAAGAAGUGAGAUGUCGCCGAGGUGGAACCUAAGAUAUUUAAGUGACCUUUAAGUGAUGUCGGCUGCUGGUGAGUCAUGGUGACAAUGAAGAGCUGAGAUCCCUGAGGGUUUCUGGGAAAUUUGUACACACACACACACACCCUUAUACACCCUGUUGUCUGCUGCCACCUGUUGGCUAAAUACGAUACUUCCUGAGCUAAGCGGUUCCUCCUCUCUUGAGUCUCUCAGUGGACUCAAACUUGGUGAUUCAACCCAGGCUUUUGUUCGGCGUCUCGGCGUCACGCUAAGGACUAAAGUACAACACACACAUCACAAAUCUUUUAUCAGUUGUAAAAACAAUGUAACAAUGUUUACUAAGAUUAUGUAACAAAGUAAUUGUGGUGUGUCGUGAGAGACUGGUAAGCAGCUCAGUUAAUUAAAUAUUCAAUGCAGUAAACAAUGAAUGAAUGGAUAAAUGAGAUUCUUGAACAUCAUUUCUGAGGAUUUAAAAAUCACCGCAGAAAUCAAUAAACUCUCUGUGACCCAUUCUCUCUCUCUCUCUCUCUU